CUGCCAGUGAUAAACUGGAGGAAGGUGGGGAUGACGUCAAGUCAUCAUGGCCCUUACGAGUAGGGCUACACACGUGCUACAAUGGCAUAUACAAAGAGAAGCGACCUCGCGAGAGCAAGCGGACCUCAUAAAGUAUGUCGUAGUCCGGAUUGGAGUCUGCAACUCGACUCCAUGAAGUCGGAAUCGCUAGUAAUCGUGGAUCAGAAUGCCACGGUGAAUACGUUCCCGGGCCUUGUACACACCGCCCGUCACACCAUGGGAGUGGGUUGCAAAAGAAGUAGGUAGCUUAACCUUCGGGAGGGCGCUUACCACUUUGUGAUUCAUGACUGGGGUGAAGUCGUAACAAGGUAACCGUAGGGGAACCUGCGGUUGGA
Molecule: ribosomal RNA, 374 nt
Filed under: Citrobacter freundii
Lineage: Bacteria; Pseudomonadati; Pseudomonadota; Gammaproteobacteria; Enterobacterales; Enterobacteriaceae
Also listed under: 1 other name
Description: bacterial SSU rRNA
Rfam family: Bacterial small subunit ribosomal RNA
Source: RNAcentral